GGUUAAGUGACUAAGCGUACAUGGUGGAUGCCUUGGCAGUCAGAGGCGAUGAAGGACGUACUAACCUGCGAUAAGCUGUGAGAAGUCGGUAAGAGACGCUAUUACUCACAGAUUUCCGAAUGGGGAAACCCACCCGAGAUAACUCGGGUAUCUGUUACUGAAUACAUAGGUAACAGAGGCGAACCGGGAGAACUGAAACAUCUAAGUACCCCGAGGAAAAGAAAUCAACCGAGAUUCCCUCAGUAGCGGCGAGCGAACGGGGAUUAGCCCUUAAGCAUCUUGGAAGUUAGUGGAACGGUCCUGGAAAGGCCGGCGAUACAGGGUGAUAGCCCCGUACACGAAAACAACCUUGAUGUGAAAUCGAGUAGGGCGGGACACGUGACAUCCUGUCUGAAUAUGGGGGGACCAUCCUCCAAGGCUAAAUACUCCUGACUGACCGAUAGUGAACCAGUACCGUGAGGGAAAGGCGAAAAGAACCCCUGUGAGGGGAGUGAAAUAGAACCUGAAACCGUGUACGUACAAGCAGUGGGAGCCCUUCGGGGUGACUGCGUACCUUUUGUAUAAUGGGUCAGCGACUUACAUUUUGUAGCGAGGUUAACCGUAUAGGGGAGCCGUAGGGAAACCGAGUCUUAACUGGGCGUCUAGUUGCAAGGUGUAGACCCGAAACCGGGUGAUCUAGCCAUGGGCAGGUUGAAGGUUGAGUAACAUCAACUGGAGGACCGAACCCACUAACGUUGCAAAGUUAGGGGAUGACCUGUGGCUGGGGGUGAAAGGCCAAUCAAACUCGGAGAUAGCUGGUUCUCCCCGAAAGCUAUUUAGGUAGCGCCUCGGACGAAUACUACUGGGGGUAGAGCACUGUUUGGGCUAGGGGGUCAUCCCGACUUACCAACCCCAUGCAAACUCCGAAUACCAGUAAGUACUAUCCGGGAGACACACGGCGGGUGCUAACGUCCGUCGUGAAGAGGGAAACAACCCAGACCGCCGGCUAAGGUCCCAAAGUUCUGGUUAAGUGGGAAACGAUGUGGGAAGGCUCAGACAGCUAGGAUGUUGGCUUAGAAGCAGCCAUCAUUUAAAGAAAGCGUAAUAGCUCACUAGUCGAGUCGGCCUGCGCGGAAGAUGUAACGGGGCUCAAACCAGGCACCGAAGCCGCGGAUUCACACUUAUGUGUGAGUGGUAGGGGAGCGUUCUGUAAGUCUGCGAAGGUGUAUCGAGAGGUAUGCUGGAGAUAUCAGAAGUGCGAAUGCUGACGUAAGUAACGAUAAAGGGGGUGAAAAGCCUCCUCGCCGGAAGACCAAGGGUUCCUGUCCAACGUUAAUCGGGGCAGGGUGAGUCGACCCCUAAGGCGAGGCCGAAAGGCGUAGUCGAUGGGAAGCAGGUUAAUAUUCCUGCACGACUUGUAAUUGCGAUGGGGGGACGGAGAAGGCUAGGUGGGCCAGGCGACGGUUGUCCUGGUGAAAGUGCGUAGGUGGUGUUUCUAGGCAAAUCCGGAGACACAACACUGAGACACGAGACGAACACACUACGGUGUGGAAGCCAUUGAUGCCCUGCUUCCAGGAAAAGCCUCUAAGCUUCAGAUUACAAGUCAUCGUACCCCAAACCGACACAGGUGGUCGGGUAGAGAAUACCAAGGCGCUUGAGAGAACUCGGGUGAAGGAACUAGGCAAAAUAGAACCGUAACUUCGGGAGAAGGUUCGCUCUUGACAGUGAAGUCCCUUGCGGAUGGAGCAGUUGGGAGUCGCAGUGACCAGAUGGCUGGGACUGUUUAUCAAAAACACAGCACUCUGCAAACACGAAAGUGGACGUAUAGGGUGUGACACCUGCCCGGUGCCGGAAGGUUAAUUGAUGGGGUUAGCGCAAGCGAAGCUCUUGAUCGAAGCCCCGGUAAACGGCGGCCGUAACUAUAACGGUCCUAAGGUAGCGAAAUUCCUUGUCGGGUAAGUUCCGACCUGCACGAAUGGUGUAACCAUGGCCAUGCUGUCUCCACCCGAGACUCAGUGAAAUCGAAUUCGCCGUGAAGAUGCGGUGUACCCGCGGCUAGACGGAAAGACCCCGUGAACCUUUACUACAGCUUGGCACUGAACAUUGAACCUACAUGUGUAGGAUAGGUGGGAGGCUUUGAAGGCGUGACGCCAGUUGCGCUGGAGCCGUCCUUGAAAUACCACCCUUGUAUGUUUGAUGUUCUAACGCAGGGCCCUGAAUCGGGCUCGCGGACAGUGCCUGGUGGGUAGUUUGACUGGGGCGGUCUCCUCCCAAAGAGUAACGGAGGAGCACGAAGGUUGGCUAAUCCUGGUCGGACAUCAGGAGGUUAGUGCAAUGGCAUAAGCCAGCUUAACUGCGAGACGGACAGGUCGAGCAGGUACGAAAGUAGGUCAUAGUGAUCCGGUGGUUCUGAAUGGAAGGGCCAUCGCUCAACGGAUAAAAGGUACUCCGGGGAUAACAGGCUGAUACCGCCCAAGAGUUCAUAUCGACGGCGGUGUUUGGCACCUCGAUGUCGGCUCAUCACAUCCUGGGGCUGAAGUCGGUCCCAAGGGUAUGGCUGUUCGCCAUUUAAAGUGGUACGCGAGCUGGGUUCAGAACGUCGUGAGACAGUUCGGUCCCUAUCUGCCGUGGGCGUUGGAUGAUUGAAGGGAGUUGCUCCUAGUACGAGAGGACCGGAGUGAACGAACCUCUGGUGUUCGGGUUGUCACGCCAGUGGCACUGCCCGGUAGCUAAGUUCGGAAUCGAUAACCGCUGAAAGCAUCUAAGCGGGAAGCGAGCCCUGAGAUGAGUCAUCCCUGACCCCUUGAGGGUCCUAAAGGGCCGUUGGAGACCACAACGUUGAUAGGUGGGGUGUGUAAGCGCGGCGACGUGUUGAGCUAACCCAUACUAAUUACCCGUGAGGCUUAACCAU
RNAcentral lists this ribosomal RNA (2890 nucleotides) under Aeromonas veronii. Its description in RNAcentral is "23S ribosomal RNA". It matches the Rfam family "Bacterial large subunit ribosomal RNA". Lineage: Bacteria; Pseudomonadati; Pseudomonadota; Gammaproteobacteria; Aeromonadales; Aeromonadaceae. The record is from RNAcentral.